This is an RNA transcript of Mus musculus (house mouse), 2290 nucleotides long. It is a transcript of the gene named nipsnap homolog 2, with no coding region annotated. The transcript is spliced from 11 exons. The record is from RefSeq and is marked validated. NCBI's taxonomy places the organism in Eukaryota, Metazoa, Chordata, Mammalia, Rodentia, Muridae.
CCUGCACUACAGCGGCCUAGCGCCCUGCCCCGCCCCGCCCCAGCCUGGUCGGCCCGGCCGGGGGAGGGGUCGCGGUAGCGGCGGCGUCAGCGACACCGAGGCGGUAGGAGCUUCAGGCUCCGGAGCAAGAUGGCGGCGCGGGUGUUGCUCGCGCGAGGAGGCCUGCUGCGGCCAGCCGCCCAGAGCGGCUUCCUGCCGGGGCUCCGGACAGUGACAUCCUCAAGUCACCGAGCUCGGGAAGACAGCUGGCUAAAGUCCUUGUUUGUCAGAAAGGUCGAUCCAAGGAAAGAUGCCCACUCCAACCUCCUAGCCAAAAAGGAGACGAGCAGUCUGUACAAGUUACAGUUUCACAACGUUAAGCCGGAAUGCCUAGACGCAUACAACAAAAUUUGUCAAGAAGUGUUACCAAAGAUCCACGAAGGCAAGCAGUACCCUUGUACCCUGGUGGGGACGUGGAACACGUGGUAUGGCGAGCAGGAUCAAGCAGUCCACCUCUGGAGGUAUGAAGGAGGCUAUCCAGCCCUCACGGAGGUCAUGAAUAAACUCAAAGAAAACCAGGAAUUUGUAAAUUUCCGAAAGGCCAGAAGUGACAUGCUUCUCUCCAGGAAGAACCAGCUGCUGCUGGAGUUCAGUUUCUGGAAUGAGCCAGUGCCAAGACCGGGCCCCAAUAUAUACGAACUCAGGUCCUACCAACUCCGACCAGGAACAAUGAUCGAGUGGGGCAACUACUGGGUAACUAUUAAGAUGGUGAUCUCCUCUGCGGCACACGUUUGUCGUUAUUACCAGGCUACGGGCCCGGGCCAUUCGCUUUAGACAGGACAGUAAUGAGGCAGUUGGGGGAUUCUUCUCUCAAAUUGGGCAGCUCUAUAUGGUGCACCAUCUUUGGGCUGAGGACUGCGCUUCUAGAAGGUGGGCAUUGGGUCUGACUGAGGCCGCAUUCCUGUGCUUCUGUUCAAGCUUAUAAAGAUCUUCAGACCCGGGAGGACAUCCGGAACGCGGCCUGGCACAAGCAUGGCUGGGAGGAGCUCGUGUACUAUACAGUCCCACUCAUUCAGGAAAUGGAGUCCAGGAUCAUGAUCCCGCUCAAGACCUCCCCGCUCCAGUGACGCUGCCGUGUGCCUACGCAGAUUACAGUGACGAAUACGUGUCAUGAUUUCAUCUCACCCAGUCACCGAGUGGAAAGCAAGCCGAGGUGUAAACUGCUGUACAUAGCUUGUAAGAUCUCUUUCCUUUAAAAUUGAAUAAUCAAGAACGGGAACUCAGGAGGGUUGAACUACCAGAAGCGGUGCAGCCUCAGCUCACCAACCGCUCCUUAGCCUCCGGCCCUUCAGGAAAACAGGAUCAUUUGAAGCCAGGUGUGGUAGCUUAGCACUCAGGGAGCUGAGGCAGGAGAAUUACAAUAAGUCCUAGGCCAAUCUGGGCUACAUAGAGAGUUUCAGACCAGCUUGGACCUUGUGAGACCCUGUCUCAAUAACCAAAAUUAAAGUUUGAAUUCUCUCUGAGUAAAAUCCCAGCUAUGAAAAAGAAUCAGCUACUAUUUCUUGCUAUUAAAAAAAAAAUCUGUUUUACAAUUACAGAUUUUUUUUUUUUUUUUUACAAAUUUCCUUCCUUCAGGAAGAAAUACAAAUGAAGUCACGUUUCCUGAGCAGUUUUUCUGAGUCUCAAACUAGGAACAAAUUCUGAGUGUACCAAUGGCUGCGAAUGCUAUGAUUUUGUGACUUCUGGUCAGUCGGUCAGCAGGCCGGGAUGUAUCAUUACCCUGAGCGAGCUGGAAGGGUGGUCACCCUGCACCUAGCCAGCCAUGCAGGCUCCAUCAGGCACCGUGUCCCCAGGGGUGGGCAUGAACCAGUGCGCCACAUGUGAUUUUGAAAUAAACACCUCAACUAGCACUAAUUUUAUUUGCAAUAUUUUUCUAUAAAACAAGUAGCUCUUGGAAAAGAGGUUUUCUUUUCUAAGCCGCCGUUCGUGACCUCUGACCUCUGGUUCUAUUUUGGUAAGCUCCCAGCAGACACUUCCAAGUCUUGUACCAAGGGCAGUGCACACUAGGUCUAAGUUGGCAUAAACCUUCAUAUUCUGUCUGUCUCUGUUUGGUUUUGUUUUUAAUAUAGUGUGCCAAUUUUGUGACUGUAAUCAUGUGAAAGCCCCAUUGAACCGAAGAAUUAUGUCUGCCCUACAAAUUGAUUUGUGUAAAAUAAAGUAUAACUAAAUCUCCUAUCAGAUGUCUAAUUUUUACAUGCGAAUGAUUUUCUCCAAGAACAUACUAAAGUAAAUAAAAGCCUCUUACUUUUCA